GAGAGCGUUUAAGAAGAAACUUGGAAUCAAUUGAUGAUGAUUGAUGAUGCGGCAGCAAGAGAGAAAACUUUUUUUUAAUAUUAUUGAUAGAUUUAUCGAUAGGUAUACACUUAUAUUAACUUACAUUUUAUUGGUUCAUAAAUUAGAUCUCGUCAUGCGCAAGAUGGGGUUCUCAGAGACAUGGAUCACCUGGAUAAUGCGGUGUAUUACGUCGGUGAAAU
Molecule: long non-coding RNA, 221 nt
Filed under: Brassica napus (rape)
Lineage: Eukaryota; Viridiplantae; Streptophyta; Magnoliopsida; Brassicales; Brassicaceae
Description: long non-coding RNA (BNAP_LNC013687)
Source: RNAcentral